UACGUAGGUCACAAGCGUUGUCCGGAUUUAUUGGGCGUAAGGGGAGCGCAGGCGGUUUGUUAAGUCUGAUGUGAAAGCCCACGGCUCAACCGUGGAACGGCAUUGGAAACUGGCAAACUUGAGUAUAGAAGAGGAAAGUGGAAUUCCAUGUGUAGCGGUGAAAUGCGUAGAUAUAUGGAGGAACACCAGUGGCGAAGGCGACUUUCUGGUCUAUAACUGACGCUGAGGCUCGAAAGCGUGGGGGGAGCGAACAGGAUUAGAUACCCUGGUAGUCCACGCCGUAAACGAUGAGUGUUAAGUGUUGGGGGGCUUCCACCCCUCAGUGCUGGCGUUAACGCAAUAAACACUCCGCCUGGGGAGUACGACCGCAAGGUUGAAACU
This 381-nucleotide ribosomal RNA is filed under the name uncultured bacterium. Its description in RNAcentral is "bacterial SSU rRNA". It matches the Rfam family "Bacterial small subunit ribosomal RNA", at positions 524 to 901 of the family's 1533-position model. The record is from RNAcentral.